Molecule: ribosomal RNA, 505 nt
Filed under: uncultured bacterium
Lineage: Bacteria
Description: partial 16S ribosomal RNA
Rfam family: Bacterial small subunit ribosomal RNA
Source: RNAcentral
GACGAACGCUGGCGGCGUGCCUAAUACAUGCAAGUAGAACGCACAGUUUAUACCGUAGCUUGCUACACCAUAGACUGUGAGUUGCGAACGGGUGAGUAACGCGUAGGUAACCUGCCUGGUAGCGGGGGAUAACUAUUGGAAACGAUAGCUAAUACCGCAUAAUAUUGAUUAUUGCAUGAUAAUUAAUUGAAAGGUGCAAUUGCACCACUACCAGAUGGACCUGCGUUGUAUUAGCUAGUAGGUGAGGUAACGGCUCACCUAGGCGACGAUACAUAGCCGACCUGAGAGGGUGAUCGGCCACACUGGGACUGAGACACGGCCCAGACUCCUACGGGAGGCAGCAGUAGGGAAUCUUCGGCAAUGGACGAAAGUCUGACCGAGCAACGCCGCGUGAGUGAAAAAGGUUUUCGGAUCGUAAAGCUCUGUUGUAAGAGAAGAACGGGUGUGAGAGUGGAAAGUUCACACUGUGACGGUAUCUUACCAGAAAGGGACGGCUAACUACGUG